RNAcentral lists this transfer RNA (76 nucleotides) under Silvimonas terrae. RNAcentral describes it as "tRNA-Met". It matches the Rfam family "tRNA". Rfam says of the family: Transfer RNA (tRNA) molecules are approximately 80 nucleotides in length. Lineage: Bacteria; Pseudomonadati; Pseudomonadota; Betaproteobacteria; Neisseriales; Chitinibacteraceae. The record is from RNAcentral. RNAcentral also lists the same sequence under 38 other names.
CGCGGGAUGGAGCAGUUGGCAGCUCGUCGGGCUCAUAACCCGAAGGUCACAGGUUCGAGUCCUGUUCCCGCAACCA